AUUCAGAUAAGGAUCUGAUUAAAAUUACUAGUAUUUGUGUAUAUGGAAUUAUACAAUGACGUGGCAGAGACACGUCGGUCUUGUCAGUCGUUGUGGGAUCAUUUAAAGGAUAAAUACUAACGUUCAUGUUCAAAUUUAAAAAGAAGGAUUUUUACACUUGGUGCAGGAUACCGGACGACCAUGUUUUAUCUCCGACCUGUUUGAGUGGUUCAGGACAUAUUUCGUUCUGUUUUUAUAGACGUGUUGUAGUCCUGUUUUAUAGAUGUGUUGUAGUCCUGUUUUUAUAGACGUGUUGUAAUCGUGUUUUAUAGACGUGUUGUAAUCCUGUUUUAUAGACGUUUUGAAAUCCUAUUUUAUAGACGUGUUGUAGUCCUGUUUUAUAGACGUGUUGUACUCCUGUUAUUAUAGACGUGUUGUAGUCCUGUUUUAAAGACGUGUUGUAGUCCUGUUUUAUAGACGUGUUGUAACCCUGUUAUUAUAGACGUGUUGUAAUCCUGUUUUAUAGACGUGCUGUAGUCCUGUUUUAUAGACGUGUUGUAAUCCUGUUAUUAUAGACGUGUUGUAAUCCUGUUAUCAUAGACGUGUGGUAAUCCUGUUAUUAUAGACGUGUUGUAGUCCUGUUAUAAUAGACGUGUUGUAAUCCUGUUAUUAUAGACGUGUUGUAGUCCUGUUGUUAUAGACGUGUUGUAAUCCUGUUAUCAUAGACGUGUUGUAGUCCUGUUAUUAUAGACGUGUUGUAGUCCUGUUAUUAUAGACGUGUUGUAGUCCUGUUAUUAUAGACGUGUUGUAUUCCAGUAUUAUAGACGUGUUGUAGUCCUGUUAUUAUAGAAGUGUUGUAGUCCUGUUAUCAUAGACGUGUUGUAAUCCUGUAAUCAGUAUUUGUCUUGAAUGGAGACAUUUCAGAUUCAUAUGUUUUUCUUACUCUUUCGAGGGAAGGGCGGGUAUCUAUAUUUUCUAAAAUUAUUUGUGUGUUCGUUUAAAAGGUCAUUUGAUGAGAAUUUCAGUGGAAAGAAAGAGGUUUAUUUUAUUCAUCUUUUCUUUUUCCUUCCUCAAUUCUUAAGUUUGAUAUAGAUUCAAAUGAUAAAACAAAAGACUAAGGCAUAUUUUUGUCUUUUCUUUUGUUAAGGGUCUCUGUUAAUGUUUCCUUUGUUGAUAUGCUGCCUCAUUCCAUCAAUUAUGAGUUGGAAUGAGUUUUGUAGUGCGGCAGUUCCUUUCAUAAUUCGGUACUCUUUUUACAAUUCGGUAUACUUUUUGUAGUUUCCCCUCUUUCGUUGUCUACAAAAUCAACAGCAUAUUUGGAUAUACCAGUAUUUGGAUUUCAAUGAACAACAGAGGAAGAAUCUCACAACCAGGCGCAGGGACCACCUCAACAAAACGUUGGACCGCGACCUCAUGUGAUCUACCUUGGGUCACUUCGAGGUUGGCAGGUACCACCAAACCGGGUGAUAAUCAACCGCCACAGAAUGGUUAUAUCCGGCAAGGUUAACAAUUAUCCAGUCCAGUAAUCGGACAACAGUCACAACCCUUAAUAGCAAUAUGAAGCAGAAUGGCACAACGCUUUAGGAGACAUUUCCUGUCACUGUUCUGCAUGGAUUCCUUCACCGUUUACCGAAGUGAAAUCACGACACAUCCUACAGCUGUUACAAAAGUCAGAUUCAGUAACAAUUCUUAUAUGGUGGAAAUAUAUCCUAGAUAUACCAACGACUGUUAUAUAAACGGAUUAUAUUCGAGAUAAAUCAGAUUUGGCAUGAUAAUAAUAUAGAAUAUAAUACCUUAGUGAUUUAUAUUUCUAAUUGCACACUUCAAAUAAUAAUAUAUCAUCGAUGUGCAUUGAUUCCAAAUAGUGACUUUUGAUUGAUUCACAUACGGGUAUAAAAGCAGAAAAAUGAUCCAUCGGACAAAGUAAUAAUAUAAAAAGAAAAAUGAUCAACAACGAGACUUGCGUACUUUCAUCUCGUCAAGGAGAUUCUUCAGACUUUUUAUUUGAAGUAGAUAAUGUGACGUCAUAUUUUAUGACGUCAUAUAAUAGUUCGCUAUAGCGACGUCCGCUAUAUGCGUUCCCGCCAUAGCGAUAUCACAGCAAUACAAAUACAUGAUUAUGGUCUUAAGGUAAAGAGUACUAUUUGUUUAGGUUUUAGAAUUACUAUAGCGAACUAUUAUGUGAUGUUUUAGGGGUGAUGCGAUAAUACCGAUGCUACAUUUGUUGCGAUGUAUUCUAUAUAACCCCAAAACAAUCCGUUUAAUUUCUAAUUAUCAAAUAAAACAUUUAAGUGCCUAGUUUUCUAAGAAACAUAAAGAUGAUUUUUAGCUCAAAACAUAUUGCGCUCGUGGUCUUGUAACUUUUAUCAAUGCUAUGGGACGUUAUCACUGUUGGUGUUGUCAUUUUGUUUUUUUUGUUUUGUUUUUUGUUUUGUUUUUUUUUG
Molecule: long non-coding RNA, 2423 nt
Organism: Mizuhopecten yessoensis (Yesso scallop)
Lineage: Eukaryota; Metazoa; Mollusca; Bivalvia; Pectinida; Pectinidae
Exons: 3
Source: RefSeq, a predicted model, not a curated record